UCCCUGACAGUCCAGUGGUUAAGACUCUGCAUUUUCAAUGCGGAGGGAGCGGGUUCCAUCCCUGGUUGGGGAA
This 73-nucleotide transfer RNA is filed under the name Bos taurus (domestic cattle). It matches the Rfam family "tRNA". From Rfam's summary of the family: Transfer RNA (tRNA) molecules are approximately 80 nucleotides in length. Their secondary structure includes four short double-helical elements and three loops (D, anti-codon, and T loops). The record is from Rfam by way of RNAcentral. Lineage: Eukaryota; Metazoa; Chordata; Mammalia; Artiodactyla; Bovidae.